CAGUGUUGGCUGGGGUGAUUGACCUGGACUAUCAAGAUGAAAUCAGUCUACUACUCCACAAUGGAGGUAAAGAAGAGUACGUGUGGAAUACUGGAGAUCCCUUAGGGUGUCUCUUAGUAUUACCAUGUCCUGUGAUUAAGGUCAAUGGGAAACUACAACAACCCAAUCCAGGUAGAACUACAAAUGGCCCAGACCCUUCAACAAGGAAGAUUUGAGUCACUCCACCAGGUAUUUAAUAAGAGUGAUUGACCAAUGAACAAGAGAAAAAGACAAAAUUCAACUCACUGCCUACCACCACCUUCCAGCCAUCCCUCCUAUACCUAUUCUAGAAUAUAGUGUGAACCUGAAAAUUGGAAGGGGAAAGUCGUACACCUGAAAGAAAAAAAUAAAAGAAUGACGCUGGGAGAGGUAUCAGUGGAACAGACUCCUAGAAGACAACGAGAAUGGUGGGAUUCUGAAGUGGCAGGGGCCAUAUGAUGCAAGUAAUAGUUACUGGCACUAAUUGACAAGGUCAAGGUGGGCAUUGUUACCAUAAUACACAACAAUCAUUGAUCUGAUAGUAGUCAGGUAGUAUGACCUACAGAGAUCUUUGUAGCUAAAUAAUUAUAGUCUUAGGACUAAUACAGGUGAACAGCCUACUAAAUCAAGUCUACUUUGAUUUUUAUAAGCAAAAUUGUUAGGACUGGUAGAUGGAGCCCUGAAUUGAAUCACUACAAUAGAGUCAUGCUCCUUAACCACUUCCCAGACUUGAGUGGUUUGUAGACUCAGAGCAGCUUAAAUGAAGAGAAGGUUUGAACCCUUUGAGGAAGGAUACUGCCACACUGCCAAAAAUGUAUGUGGUAAAAUAUCCAUUUAGUCUUUUCCGGAAGAACCUGGAACCAUUUACCAGGGUGCUUGUGCUUUAGGGAAAUAAAAAUAACUGAACAUCUUAGGGAUUGCUAGACACUGCCUUUGAGCUGACACAAAUUCUUGGAGACACAAAACAGCAAAGUGAUUCACCAUUCAGAAAGGGGAUGUACGAAAGCCAGGCGAUUCAUGUCAUUUUGGCUCAGCCCAUCUACAGUGGGUCCCUCAAGCCACCUUGUAGUCAUGUUCCUAGUUCUAAAAUGAAAAGUUGGAAUGGAUACACUCAGCAAUGUGGGCUUCCACUUGCCAAGGUUAAUCUGGCUACAUCAAUAUUGAAUGCCCAACCUGCCAACAGUAGAGACAAACUGUGAAGCCCUGAUACAAUGGCAUUCCAAAGGGUGACCAGAUAGCCAUCUGAAGGCAAGUUGAUUACAUUAGCAAAUUUCUUUCAUGAAAAGGGCAGCCAUUUGUUCAUACCAAAAUAGACAUGUAUGCUGGAUCUGAUUUUGCCUUCCCUGCCCAACAGUUUUCUGCUGGUAAAGAGAGCUUAGUUUCCAAUCAAAUAAGGCCUCUACAGGGAGUUAAAACAAUGGUUACAUUAAACUAGAAGCUAAGAAUGCCACCUUGUCACUAUAAACACCUUUAUGCAAAUAAACUGGAAAAUCUAGAAAAAAUUGAUAAAUUCCUGGACACAUACCCCUCCCAAGACUAAACCAGGAAGAAGUCAAAUCCCUGGAUAGACCAAUAACAAGUUCUGAAAUUGAGGUAGUAAUUAACAGCCUACCAACCAAAAAAAGCCCAGGACCAGAAGGAUUCACAGCCAAAUUCUAAGAGGUACAAAGAAGAGCUGGUACCAUUCCUUCUGAAACUAUUCCAAACUAUAGAAAAAGAGGGACUCCUCCCUAAUUCAUUUUAUGAGGCCAGCAUCAUCUUGAUACAAAAACCUGGCAGAGACACAAGAAGAAAAGAAAAUUUUAGGCCACUAUCCCUGAUGAACACCAGUGCAAAAAUCCGCAAUAAAAUACUGGCAAGCUGAAUCCAGCAGCACAUCAAAAAGCUUAUUCACCAUGAUCAAGUCAGCUUCAUCCCUGGGAUAUGAGACUGGUUCAACAUACCCAAAUCAAUAAACGUAAUCCAUGACAUAAACAGAACCAAUGACAAAGAAACACAUGAUUAUCUCAAUAGAUGCAAAAAAAAGGCCUUCAAUAAAAUUCAACACCCCUUCAUGCUAAAAACUCUCUAUAAACUAGGUAUUGAUGGAACGUCUCUCAAAAUAAUAAGAGCUAUUUAUGACAAACCCACAGCCAAUAUCAUACUGAAUGGGCAAAAGCAGGAAGCAUUCCCUUUGAAAACCGGCACAAGACAAGGAUGCCCUCUCUCACCGCUCCUAUUCAACACAGUAUUGGAAGUUCUGGUCAGGGCAAUCAGGCAAGAGAAAGAAAUAAAGAGUAUUCAAAUAGGAAGCGAGGAAAUCAAAUUGUCUCUGUUUGCAGAUGACAUGAUUGUAUAUUUAGAAAACCACAUCAUGUCAGCCCAAAAUCUCCUUAAGUUGAUAAGCAACUUCAGCAAAAUCUCAGGAUACAAAAUCAGUGUGCAAAAUCUCAGGAUACAAAAUCAGUGUGCAAAAAUUGCAGGCAUUCCUAUACACCAAUAAUAGACAAACAGAGAGGCAAAUCAUGAGCAAAUUCCCAUUCACAAUUGCUACAAAGAGAAUAAAAUACCUAGGAAUACAACUUAUGAGAGAUGUGAAGGACCUCUUCAAGGAGAACUAUCAACCACUCCUCAAGGAAAUAAAAGAGGACACAAACAAAUGGAAAAACGUUCCAUGCUCAUGGAAAAGAAGAAUAAAUAUCUGAAAAUGGCCAUACUGCCCAAAGUAAUUUAUAGAUUCAGUGCUAUGCCCAUCAAGCUACCAUUGACUUUCUUCACAGAAUUAGAAAAAAACUACUUUAAAUUUCAUAUGGAACCAAAAAGAGCCUGUAUAGCCAAGACAAUCCUAAGCAAAAAGAACAAAGCUGGGGGCAUCACGCUACCUGAUUUCAAACUAUACUACAAGGCUACAGUAACCAAACAGCAUGGUACUAAUACCAAAACAGAUAUAUAGACCAAUGGAACAGGACAGAGGCCUCAGAAAUAAUGCCACACAUCUACAACCAUCUGAUCUUUGACAAACCUGACAAGAACAAGCAAUGGGGAAAGGAUUCCCUAUUUAAUAAAUGGUUUUGGGAAAACUGGCUAGCCAUAUGCAGAAAACUGAAACUGGACCCCUUCCUUACAUUGGUUUUUUUUCUUUAGAGCUUGUAUACUUGAAUUCUUUUCAAAUUACCACUUUAAUAUAUGUUUGAAAUCAGUGAAUACAAAGGUGUACAAGAAAAAAGUUUAUCAUCUGUAUCAUGACACUUCCUCUAUUGCACCUUCCUGAGAUAAGCCAUGUCAACAAUAUGGUGUGUAUCUUUCUAAACAUUUCACUUAGUUUAUUAAAACUUACACGAGACUUUGCAUGCAUAGAUACGGUUGGUUUUUUUUAAUUCCCUUUGCUUUGUUGCUCAUUUUAACAUAAUAAAAUCAUACUGCAAAUAGGAUCUGCAACUUUGGCAAAAUAUUUAUGUAGAUAUAAGUACAUAUUAUUUUUUACUAUUUUCCACAAUUGAAAUCAUAUUUGACAUACUUUCAUACAUUCUGCUUUUGUCAUUCAUAAAUUCUUUAGAUCAAUUCCUCCAAGCCAACUGGCAUAGCUCUAAUUCAUUUGUUCAUUUAAAUAACUAAAAUAAAUCAUGGUUUGGAUAUUUUAUAAUUUAUUUAGGCAUUGCCCUAGCACUGAGCAACAUAUUGCUACAUGCCACUAAAACAAUGCUAAUAAAAACAUCCAAAAGAAUAUCUUUAUUUGCUUUUAUUUGUGUAGGAUAGAUAUGCAAUAGUGACCUGUGAAUUGUCUAGGGCUAAGACUUUUUAUUUUAGUGAUUGCUGCCAGGUUGUUUUCCAAAAUAGGUACAACAAUUCAUA
Molecule: long non-coding RNA, 3849 nt
Organism: Homo sapiens (human)
Lineage: Eukaryota; Metazoa; Chordata; Mammalia; Primates; Hominidae
Exons: 3
Source: RefSeq, a predicted model, not a curated record